Molecule: ribosomal RNA, 315 nt
Filed under: Boana rosenbergi (Rosenberg's treefrog)
Lineage: Eukaryota; Metazoa; Chordata; Amphibia; Anura; Hylidae
Description: partial large subunit ribosomal RNA
Rfam family: Bacterial large subunit ribosomal RNA
Source: RNAcentral
AAGAGNCUCCUAUCGACAAGUGGGUUUACGACCUCGAUGUUGGAUCAGGGUAUCCCAGUGGUGCAGCCGCUACUAACGNGUUCGUUUGUUCAACGAUUAAAACCCUACGUGAUCUGAGUUCNAGACCGGAGUAAUCCAGGUCAGUUUCUAUCUAUANAAGGGNCUUUUUCUAGUACGAAAGGACCGAAAAAGCAUGGCCAAUGANCUAAUUAAGCCAUNAUAAAUANNACUUGUGACACCAACUCAACUGUUUAUUAACCUCAAACUNNUUACUCAAGAAAAGAGUAGUUAACGUAGCAAAAUACGGCAUUGCAA